GCGUAGGGUAUGUAGGUGGUGGAAAAAAGUAAAAAUGAAAUACUAGAUUAUCAUCUUUUGUGUUUUUAUGUAAUUUCACUAGAAUCUUAGAUGGGAUGGUGGUACUUUUUAGGUAACAGUUAAAUGUGUUGAUAAAAAAAGGACCGACGGAGGUGAAAGCGACCAUCCUUUCAAGUAUUGAGCUAAGGUACGAAGGCAGGGGAGCAAAGAGGAUUAGAUACCCUCGUAGUCCGUGAGUAAACGCUGAGUUUUCAAUGUAGAGAAUAAACCCUAAUAUAAAGAGGCAAUAUGUAUUAGGUUUUAUAUGCAAUUUUUGGCGUUCAAGUAACGCGUAAAAUUCUCCGCUGGGAAGUACGGCCGCAGGUUGAAACUCAAAAGAAUUGAGGUGACUUGAACGAGG
RNAcentral lists this ribosomal RNA (400 nucleotides) under Perichaena vermicularis. Its description in RNAcentral is "partial small subunit ribosomal RNA". It matches the Rfam family "Bacterial small subunit ribosomal RNA", at positions 558 to 930 of the family's 1533-position model. Lineage: Eukaryota; Evosea; Eumycetozoa; Trichiida; Trichiidae. The record is from RNAcentral.